UCGCUUGUUUCUCUCUCUCGUCUCUCUCAUCAACAAAUGGAAACAAGCCGAUAGCGACACCAUGUUCUUCGAUGAAACCUCUGCUUUCCAACUAGGGGUAAGUCUUAGGAACCCUCUCCCUCUUUUCCUUUUUCGUCGUUUAGUAUCAAAUUUAAGUGUGGUGUGUGAUUUUUGGACUGGUUUAAUGGAAGGAAACACAUCGAAAAGUUUUCCUAGAUUUUUGGCAAACCUGAGAAUGUUGCAGGCCAUUUCUGGCUAACUUCGGCCACGGCUGGGCCUUGAAUGGUAUAGUUCGAAUCCUUGUCUCCCUAGCUUCGUUUUGGUUUUAAAAUUUUUAAUUUUGGUUGAGUAUUAAGGCUGAAUGCAGCCUCUAUGAUUCUAGCUGAAUCCAGCCUUCUUCUUCGUUCCGUCAGGCAACCUAUGAGCCCAAACGAGUCAACCCGACCUGGUACAGGAAAAAAAUAAAAGGAGGCUUAAGCCCAAACCCAGCCCAAACCUUAAGCCUAAGUUGUUCUAGCUCGGUCCAUUUCCGAAAUAGGCUUAGAAUAUUCUUUUAAAUAUUCCUCGUGUUGACUUUUUCGAAAUUUUCUCGAAAACCCUAUUAGGUUAAUUUCAAUGUCCCGAGUCUGUUUUUGACAUCCAUGUAGUGAAAUUUCAAAGUUUUAACGUAGUUGACCGCCGAUGUGGUUCGGUUGAUUGUUUUAGGGUUGACCAUUGACUUUUCAUUGACUUUUUACAAAAUUUGUCCAAGACUCUUCUUAGCGUAUUUCAACGCACUGAUCCGAAUCCAUCCAUUUCUCCAGAUUUAAACGUUUUAAUUGAGUUUUACUAAUGGGUUUCUAUUAUGCUUAGGUACGAUUAUCAUCGGUGAUCCGUAUUUACUCGUUUGAACUGCUGCAACCUCGCAAGUACCUAUGAGUCUUAUAUAGUACAUAUAUAUUUGUUAGUUUCCAUUUAUAUAUUUGAUAAAGAAUUUUCUACGUUAGACCUAGAUUUGGUUAACAUAUAUACAUGUAGUGAAAUUUGAUGCGUAAAUUAUACUAUGUCCUACAAGAUGCACAUGUAUGCAUAUUAGUACGGAUACUUUAAUUGUAUUUACGAUCAUGAAUAGUAUUUCAUUGAUUAGAAUUAUUGAAUUAUCGAAUUAUCAAUUACCAUUGCAUGAUCAUAUUUACGUUAUUUGCUCAUCGUGUGCUGCACUGGUGUUAUUACUCGCCUAGAGCCAGGGCCAAUCUUUCACGUGUAUGUUCACAUUGCACCGUACGCUCACUUUGGAUCCAUUAUAAGUGCCAAUCCUGUCAUAAAUUGCUAUAGGCAAUUAGAACUCGUAUGUGAUGUGUAUAGGGUCAGUCUUCACGUGAUUGUAGUACUAGAGCGUAAAUCAUUAUUACACCCUGUCAUGUUCAUGUCAUAAUAUCUCUGCAUGAACUCGUGUGUCAGCAUAUAUCAAUGAGCACUCGAUAUGAUAUGUUUAUUUAUGCGAGAUUAUGUGAUUUUCGGACGUUAGAUGUUUAUUUACGAAAUAUUGUGACGUAUUGAACUCUUGAGAUAUUGCAGGCUACGGUAAGUAUUUUAAUACUAUACGUUGUAUGUAUAUUUUGGAAACUAUAAUUGUUUUACAAUGAGGAGUUAAUAUGCUUUGAAAAGAUUGUUACAAAACUUUAUUUUUAGGCCCAGUCACCUUUGUUUUUUUCGCCCUUCCAGGUUUUGGUAGCUGAGCUUUCAUAUCAAUGAGGAUUCUCGGCAAAUCUUGGUAUUGGAGGCUACAUUCGAUGGUAUAAUUCUCAUUCUACUUUUACUAUACUUUACUUAUGCUUGGGCAUCAUGUGUGAUAUUGGUUCAUUCCCGCUCACAUGCGCACUCUUCCAUUAGGCACUUCUAGGUUUAAAUUUACUCACAUCUUCCACAUCAUUACACUUUAUGACUUCGUCUUCUUCCCGGUGUCGGCCAUCACAGUUCUAUUCGGGGUCCAGGUGGACAUUCCGGUUCGGGGUGUGUCAUUUUAUCUCCAACACUACUCUUUAUUUUAACAAGCAUUAGCAUAUGCCUACACCCUUUAUGCAUGUGAACAUUUUUAUUUUUGUUUUUGAAAUGCGAAGGAGAGAGGGAGAUAGAGAAUGUGGGAGUAGGAGCGAGGAGUUGGGAGAGGGGUUUUUGUUUCAUAUUUUUUUUAAUAUUAGAUUUAUUCUAAAAUCACAUGUAGAAGAAUUUUAAAUGAAAAACAACAAAAUUUAGUUUUGUGGAAUCACAUUACCGCCCAUAAUUUGUUCGUUGUGAUAGAAUACUAAAUAGCCUUUUCAUCAUCUUGACAAAAAAGGAUUUUGUUAAUAAGUGGUUUAAAUUGGAAUAUUUUAUUAUUUACCAAUUUAAUCUUUUUAUAUUCAUUCAUUUUACUUACCAAAAAAACCUGCUUUCUAGAAUGGAAAGGGAUCAUCGGAUCCCUUCCACCAAGUCCUAGGGAACAAUCAAUUCAGACCCUUAAAAUUUGAUUAAAUGGCUACAAAUAUGAGUCAACUUUCAAAAUUUUAAUAACUUUAACCGUUAAAUCAAAUUUUAAAGAUCCGGAUUUAUGGAUCCUAGGACUUGGUGGAAGGGAUCCAAAGAGGAUCCCUUUCCUUAUAGAACCACCAGUUCUCCUAUUUAUGGUCCUCUCAUUUCCUUUCCUCCUUUUAUCACUAUGUUUAAUCCAUCGCUCUCUGUUCUCUCUCCCUUAAAUGAAAGUUGAAAGUUGCCGCUCCCUCUCUUAUUUUCUUCCGUUAGUGUCUUCUCCUUUUAUUUUUUUAUUUUUUUGUUCUUCCGUUAUACGAUAGAUUUGUUGAAUUAGACGUUAAAUUAGAGAGUUAACGGAAUUCGAACUGAUACAACAAUAAUGCAAAGACAACACUUCUCUUCAUCACUGUGGUAGAUGGUCAUUUGUAGCUAUUCUCUCUAGUCUCAAAAGAUUAUAAAAUGUUGAUCUUCAGCUGGAUAAGACAACGAAACGAAUCCCUCAAGCGACAGUCCCAAUGAAACCUAUCCUUCCCAAAUCUGACUUGUUCUGAAUAUAAAAAUGAGAAAUUAAAGAAGAAACAUUUUUGUGGGACGGAAGACCAUAAAAGUUUCUUUUCAUCGGUAAAGCUUUAAUUAAAUGCAAUAAAGAACUAGGAUGGAUGCAUGUUUUAUUCAGAAUUUGUCGUGACAACUGAUUCUUUGUUGAGAGUAAGAAGUGCGGAGUUUGGUGGAUACUUCAUAUAUUGCUCGUUAUUCCACCUCAAUUCUGAGGGUUGAGGUUUGUAUUUUGGCUGGAUAUGCAGGUCUCGCGCUAAUAACGUUGUGUUAGUAUAUUUUCACCGCCAACACCGUUAACCCAAAUUUAGGCAGCCUCCAAUGCAGUGCACGUCUUUCACAACCCUAUGAAAUUUAGUCCCUCUGAGAGGAUGAGGAUCCUCUCCGGAUUCACUUUAUGAGGAUUCUAAAGAUCCUCAAAUCUUAGUAGUUUAUCGUAUUUUAUGUAAUCAGUUUUUGUUAGUUAUUAUUGGUGUUAAUUUUAAAUAAUAAAAUUUAAAUGAUUUUUUACCACACGAUGUGUGAAGAAUGACUAAGAUGUGAGGAUCCUUAGAAUUCUCACAAUUUGGCUCUAGGUGGGAUCCAAAUCCCCUUUGGGACUCGCUUGGGGGCUUGAUGAAAUAAGUUGUGACCAUUUUUUUUUUUUUUGAACAAAUGAUAUUAUCUACAAACUACAGUAAGGGGGGGAUGGUGGGCUUAGUCUCUUAAUGAGCUAUCAAUAAUGUGACUCUAAUUCACCUUUGUAAGAAUCGAACCUAAGACCUCUCGCUUACAAGUGAAGAUGAAUACCACUAAAAUGUAGUACUAAAUGGCAAAUUGUGAGCAAUUAAAAUAGACUUGAGUAUAGUCUAUUGUUUGUGGUAUCAAAAUAUGAAAUGGACAUGAUUGAACAAGAUGAAUUAUGAAUUUACAAUAAAGUGAAUUAUCUAACUUCUUUAUACAAAAGAUACAAGUCAUGUCUUAAGAUCUAAUCCCAUCUAGCCGCAGAGGAUGACUCCACAUAUCGAUUGCUUUUUCUCCCGUGCACAGGACACGAAGCUUUCUCCUUAUUCAAUUGGAUUAUGUUGUAAAUAUUAUGUGGAUGGCCCACAUGAAUAGUUUGUUACUAUUUAUUCACAUUAUUUUCACUAUUCAUUUGUGGAAAAUUUGUAAGGUGAAUAGUGUCCUCUUUGAUUAUAAAAUGAAUGAGAAGAAGAGGAAGAAAGGGGUUCACGGGAGAGAUAAGAAGAAAAGAAAGAAAGAAAGAGAGGAAGGAAGGAAGAGGAAGAGAGAGAAGGAAGAGGAAGAGAGAAAAUAGAGAAAGAUGAGAGGAGAUAAUAGAGAGAGAGUUAUCUUUGUACUCCUAUUAUUUCAAAUUAUAAUGAAAGCACCACUGCUGCCCCGAGGACGUACUCCAGUCACACUGACUGUAGAGGAACCUCGUAAAUUUUGUGUCUUGUUUCAUUUAUUCCACUGCACCCACAGUCGAUUUUACAACACGUUAUCAGCACGAGAAGCUCUCAUGUUAGUGGAAAGCACAACGCCACAAAUCAUGUUCACCUCCUUCAGCUGGAAUCUCACAGAUAAGAAAAUCUUUUCAUUUCAUCUUCAAAUCUCAAUACAAUUGAUUUUCUUGAACCAACUAUAUAUAUUGUUGUAUGACUGUAUAUCAUCUUUUGCAGAAGCAAAAGAGUACAGACUCAAAAUUCGUAGAGAAUUUGACGGCCAUGUAAACAGCCUCGGAACUCUAACUUGCGGACCUCGGAUUGAAAUACUUUCUUCUUGAAAGUUGUUCGUCUGCUCAGUAUCUACAACGUAUCAAAAUUUCAGAAAACUUUAACGGUGGGAUUGUCACAGAUGUUUGAAAUACCAAACCAGUUUCCAAUUUCCGUAGAGAACUGGACAGCCACCUUAUGAGUACCACAACUCCAUUUCUGUAGCUCAGAUCGAAAUUAUUUCUUCACGAAAGUUGUUCGGUAUCCUCUUAUCCAUAUCAUACUAAAAUUUGAGCUAAAUCUAACGGUUUGAUCUUUUCAUAAAUUGCAGACACUCUUGACUCCAAAACUUAUGGGAACCGUUUUGACUUUUUCGAAACUCACCGGAGGAGGAACACCAAUUGGAACCUAUUGUUACUAUUACUUUCUGAGUAACCAAAAUAACUUCAGAGCUGUGAAAUAAAAAAUAAAAAUAAAAGGAAUCAAACAAAAGAAAUGGCAGACCAAGAAAAAGAAAAAGCAAAAGAUGAGGACUUAAUCAUUGCAUUUUCUAUUUUGGAAUAUUUAUGUGCAUGAUGUUGGUUUAAAGCUCAUGUCACAAGUUCUAUUUAUUUAAAGCAAUUUAUUUACAGUGGGUAGAAUUAUUACCCUUUGCUUUAAAGCUUUGAUAUUUAUGUGAAUGGUGCUGAAUCAAAGCCCUUGUCACAAGCUUUAUUUACUUUACAGCAAUUUAUUUACUAUGGACGGUUAUACCGCCUAUUGCUUUAAGUUUUAAAGGUGCUGAAUUAAAGCCCUUAUCACAAGAUUUAUUUACUUAAAUGCAAUUUAUUCAUUACGGCUGGAAUUACCGCAUAUUGCUUUAAUUUAUUUAUUGUACUUAUCUUUUGUUACAAUGAGUAUAUAUAUAGGACCUGAAGUUUCUUGAUCCUCAUCAUAUAUAAAAUGAUUGGACCUGAAGUUCCAUCAUGCAUAAGGAUCAAGCAUGAAGUCCCUUGAUCCUGAAGAUCAGGACAUGAAAUUCCUUGAUGAGUAUCAUAAGUCUGAAGUGCCAUAGUACCUCAACUUAAUUGUAAUAAAGGACAUAAGAGUCUCAGUUCACAGACCAUUAAACAAGGACCAGAAGUUCCUCAUGUCCAUACUCAAAAUGGUUUAGCAAAAGCAUUUAUUAAGUGGGUGAAAUUGAUUACCAAUACUCUGCUCAUGAAAACGAAAUUGCCAGUUUUGUACAUGGGGAUAUGUUUACUGCGUGGUUUGCAGAAUAUCAUUUUAAUAAGACAAUUUUCUUGUUGUUAGGAGAGAAAAUAACAUCGUUCCAGAAGAACAAUGAGAAAAUAUCAUUCCAGAAGAAUGAUAAGAAAAGACCGUUCCAGAAGAACGAAGAGAAUUUGUCUUAUUUUGAUUCACGAAGCAAUCAAUGAGAAAAUGAAAUAGGAAUAAUUAAAUGAUGCAACGAAAGUGAUGAAAUCAUAUAUACUUACUACAAAUGUGUCUACAAGAAUUGAUGUCCCUGUUGGACAAAAUAAUGAGACAGUAAAUGAUUUAUCUGUUGUACGCCUGAAGCGUGUCAGAUUUUUAGACUCAAAAGGUUCAGUUAUUCGAAAGAAGAAUAAUAUGGCACUACUGAACUAUUGCAUUCCCGAAGCAUAACUGUUGUGCAUGCCAGAAGCAUGACAGUCACCGCAUGGAUACACGUCCCAGAUAGGACAAUCCACAGACAUGGGAUUAUUAAUGUCUCAUGCAUGUAGCAUGAUAGACGUAUAUGUUCCAAAGACUCAACUCCCGAAAGUGGAGAUUAAAAUUCAAGCUCUAUAAUGCUCAAGAGGAGGUUAUGAUCUACAUGCUCUAAAUUAUGACUAUCCUGGAAGAGAUAGCGCCAUGCCCUUGAAGAGGCAAUGGAUAUCCAAAGAAAUGAAAAGUUUUUAUGCAUGCGCAUGCACAUGAGAAUAUGGGAUCACGGAUUGAUGAUAACUAAUGGUAAUUUUGGUUUUUACAAGUAGCUACUAAAUUCAUCAAUGAACUGUGUUAAUAUUGAGUCACGUUCUUUUGUUCGUCGACAAAAGAAAAAUUAUUGGCCAAAAUGGAGAAAGACAAUUCCAUUACAAUUUUGUAAGAACGUGGACAAAUGAACCUAUAUAUAUUUGAAUGUAAUACAAAUAGCCAAAAGAUGUUGAACCAAGGAGGUUACAUAUGGGCAUUUGUAAUACAGUGUAAUACACUCACAUGAUAUGACACAAGGUUACUAAUUGAAACCUGAAAUUAUACUCUUGUAAACGAGUUCAUAUAAAUGGAGAAUUAUAUACUAAGGGUUGUGAGUAGCCCACAUUAUAUCUCCAUAAGUAAAUCCCUCAAGUAUACAUGGGAGCAAAUUGCUCUGUAUAAAUUCCAAAGGAAAAUGUGUCAUAAAGUGUAGAAAAUCCCUAAAGGAUUCAAAUUGCUUGAAGUAUGCCCUCGAAGGGUAAAGUAUAAAAUAUGUACUCAAUACCAAUGGAUGGUAUAAAUUGCCUUAGUGAGUACUAUCAUUAUGAUAUUGUUGCAACAUACUAAAAUCUCUUGCAAGAGUCAAUAACAUUAAAUUAGAAAUCUUGAAGAGUUGAUGAUAUUAAAUUGGGACUCCUGAAGAGUCUAGAAAAAUUAUAAAGUGUUGAAGGAAUUAUUGUCUCGAGCUGCAGAUCGAACAAUCUACCAACACGAAUCUUAUCCAUGAUAUUUAUGAUAUUAAAAGAACCAUAUGGAUUGAAGAUUAUGAGUUGAAUACUCAAAUGAUGAAAACACUAAGAAUAAUCAUUUAUCUUCGUGAGGGUAAAGAUAAAUUAAUAUUUGGUCCAGAAGUACCACAUCUUAGUGAAGUAUAUGCUUUAUUGUAUUUGGCACAAUACAUUGAAUGAAAUAAAGCUUAUUUAUUAAUAUCUCCAAGAAAUUACAGAUAUGUACAUACACAUGAGUUAAAACAAACAAACAGGAUGGAGCCUUCACAAAGGUUGCUCAUGUGAAGCCUCAGUACUCGGAAGUACCCCAAAAGGGGGAGGCACUGGAGAUUGAUCAUGUGGCACCCAGUACUUAGCAAAAUACCAGAAGGGGAAUGCAUCAGUUGCUUUCGGAAUCUAGCAACGAACCUCUGGUGAUCACUUUGAAUUCGACUUUCGGAUUCCUGCAGUUGGUUGAGCUUUCUUUUCAUGCUCGUAGAGUAAUUAUUUGCAAGCACGUGUAACACCCUAUUCUCGUGCUUGAGCCCUCUGAUCUCUUGUUUAAGAUUUGCCACCUCCGCCAUCAAUGAUUCAACUUGGCGAAUUUGAGCAAGUAGGCGUUGGCCCAUAUUGGAAACAGAGCCAGCACACUGAACACUGAGAGCCAAGGAGUCUUGAACGGCCGACUCUUCAGACCGUUCUGAAAGGAUCUUGUUAUCCCUUGGAGUGAGAAGAUUCCUAGCUACCACAGUAACGGUUAUGUUAUUCUUCAUCACAGAGUCCCCAACCGUAAGAGGACCAUUAGAAGAUAAGAAGGACGGGCGCCAUAUAUUAUCCUGACGCUGCUCGUCUGUAUCACUCCUAAGACUCAAAUCUAAGCAAAUGUUAGAUGGGCAAGUCAUUUUACAGAAAUGAUGAAGGAAAAACAGAGGUCAAAUAAAAAUUCAGAAGUGCAAGAUAUGGGAAAUUUCUACAUGCAGCAACUUUCUGAGCAUACUCUUGAACACAAUUGAUGUCUCUAUAAAAGAAGAGGCAACAGAGCCACUUGUUCAAAGAUCGAAGAGGCACCGCUCUCCGAAUUUCAAAAGCCAGAUUUUCCUAAAUAAAGUUCGUUGGCAUUUUUCAGACGUAAUCUCAGCUUUUUCAGAUAUCGCAUGCAACUUUGUCAAAUAUCUCUGACAAAGUUGAAAACGCGUAAAUCUUACUGUUCUAUUUACACCACAGUUGUUGACAAGAGUAAAAGCACAGCACCACCACUUGCUAUUUAGAAAUCUCUAUAUAUGUCGACCUCUGUUCUCCAUAACAAGGCAGACCUGCAACACUGCAAGAAUACCCAACUCUUCCUCAUCUCCGAGAAUGCAUCUUCAACAUAGCAUCUCGAAAUACUCAGUUUUCUUCCUCUCCGAGAAUACCUCUUCAAACAUGUCACACCAGAGCAAGAUUAUCACAUAUCUUCAGGGACCAAAGCAAGAUUAUCUCAUAUCAUGCAAUCUCCCUGUCCUUUCCUUUGUCCUUGUUCUUGCCUGCAAAGACAAGGAUAAAGAAAGCAAUAUGUCGGAACCUCCACUCAAACUCCCGAUAAGGAACCGACUGCCUGGAACCUUUCCUGAUUGCUUACCUAGUAUUGCUCUCGAGUAGUCAUCUUCAACGGUUGGAGCUGAGUCUCCAGUCACCAAGAAGUGAUGAACCAUUCAAAUGUAAGGGUUUGCAUUCCUCUCCUGCAUCAGGGGACAAAUCCUAAAAGAGAAGAUGUCACACAUGUAGGGGAAAACCAAGGAAAAUACUACUUAAGCAAGGGGAGCAAGUAAGGAAAGUGAAAAUGAUACAUUGGAGCAUGUGGAGACAAGCACAACAAACACGUGCUAAUUCAUCCCUGACAAAGUCGAAGAUCACUUGCCACGUGAAGCUCUUCACGGUACAACUUUAUUCAAGAUCAAGCCUCGGAGGUCCUUGAAGAAAUCACAAGUCCGAUUCAAGAUCAAGUGUCCACCACUUUUGAAUCAAAUUCCGCUCCAGAUAAAAGGAGUAAAUUCAGAUCUUCGAUUCUAGUCUAGCAGAAGGCCCUCUAGCCCAGUUCAAGAACAAGCCUGUGGAAAGUUAACAACAAGUAAAGCAACUAUUUCAACAACUCUUCUUACUAAGAGACUAAAGCAUAACGAUCAACGAUCAACCUAAAUGAUUUGAAAUCAGGGGGAGAUAUUCAUCAGGGGGAGCAUCCAAGACAGAUCAAGAUUUUAACGAGUCAAUCGAAGACUUGUGGCCAUCCAAGGGGGAGUGUUGUAAAUAUUAUGUGGAUGGCCCACAUGAAUAGUUUGUUACUAUUUAUUCACAUUAUUUUCACUAUUCAUUUGUGGAAAAUUUGUAAGGUGAAUAGUGUCCUCUUUGAUUAUAAAAUGAAUGAGAAGAAGAGGAAGAAAGGGGUUCACGGGAGAGAUAAGAAGAAAAGAAAGAAAGAAAGAGAGGAAGGAAGGAAGAGGAAGAGAGAGAAGGAAGAGGAAGAGAGAAAAUAGAGGAAGAUGAGAGGAGAUAAUAGAGAGAGAGUUAUCUUUGUACUCCUAUUAUUUCAAAUUAUAAUGAAAGCACCACUGCUGCCCCGAGGACGUACUCCAGUCACACUGACUGUAGAGGAACCUCGUAAAUUUUGUGUCUUGUUUCAUUUAUUCCACUGCACCCACAGUCGAUUUUACAAC
Molecule: long non-coding RNA, 10113 nt
Filed under: Malus domestica (apple)
Lineage: Eukaryota; Viridiplantae; Streptophyta; Magnoliopsida; Rosales; Rosaceae
Description: long non-coding RNA (MDOM_LNC013052)
Source: RNAcentral